RNAcentral lists this ribosomal RNA (450 nucleotides) under uncultured bacterium. RNAcentral's name for it is "partial 16S ribosomal RNA". It matches the Rfam family "Bacterial small subunit ribosomal RNA", at positions 354 to 796 of the family's 1533-position model. The record is from RNAcentral.
GUGGGGAAUUUUGGACAAUGGGCGCAAGCCUGAUCCAGCAAUGCCGCGUGCAGGAUGAAGGCCUUCGGGUUGUAAACUGCUUUUGUACGGAACGAAAAGCCCUGGGUUAAUACCCUGGGGUCAUGACGGUACCGUAAGAAUAAGCACCGGCUAACUACGUGCCAGCAGCCGCGGUAAUACGUAGGGUGCGAGCGUUAAUCGGAAUUACUGUGCGUAAAGCGUGCGCAGGCGGUUUUGUAAGACAGAGGUGAAAUCCCCGGGCUCAACCUGGGAACUGCCUUUGUGACUGCAAGGCUAGAGUACGGCAGAGGGGGAUGGAAUUCCGCGUGUAGCAGUGAAAUGCGUAGAUAUGCGGAGGAACACCGAUGGCGAAGGCAAUCCCCUGGGCCUGUACUGACGCUCAUGCACGAAAGCGUGGGGAGCAAACAGGAUUAGAAACCCUGGUAGUCC